UGCGUAGGUGGCAGAUCAAGUCUGGAGUAAAAGGUAUGGGCUCAACCCGUACUUGCUCUGGAAACUGAUCAGCUAGAGAACAGAAGAGGACGGCGGAACUCCAUGUGUAGCGGUAAAAUGCGUAGAUAUAUGGAAGAACACCGGUGGCGAAGGCGGCCGUCUGGUCUGGAUUCUGACACUGAAGCACGAAAGCGUGGGGAGCAAAUA
RNAcentral lists this ribosomal RNA (207 nucleotides) under uncultured bacterium. RNAcentral describes it as "partial 16S ribosomal RNA". It matches the Rfam family "Bacterial small subunit ribosomal RNA", at positions 568 to 774 of the family's 1533-position model. The record is from RNAcentral.